This 208-nucleotide long non-coding RNA is filed under the name Elaeis guineensis (African oil palm). RNAcentral describes it as "long non-coding RNA (EGUI_LNC030849)". The record is from RNAcentral. Lineage: Eukaryota; Viridiplantae; Streptophyta; Magnoliopsida; Arecales; Arecaceae.
GCACUGUAAGACCCCUUCCAUCUUCAAUGUUUAUAUUUAUUAGUUCCUCAAUCUUAGGAACUAGAUAUGUCUGCCAUUUAUGGGAGCGAUCACGUCUCUCAUGCAUCAAUUCCAUCAUCUUAUACUGUGGCAUGUCUACCAUAGGAGUUAUUAGAAGCUGUCGUGCCUCGUUCGUCCAAUUAUUAAAUGACUCCACAAUAUUAAAGUA